Molecule: non-coding RNA, 45 nt
Organism: Merops nubicus (carmine bee-eater)
Lineage: Eukaryota; Metazoa; Chordata; Aves; Coraciiformes; Meropidae
Source: Rfam
CCAAAGGCUCUUUUCAGAGCCACCCACACGGUCAGAAAAGAGUUG